UAGUUGUGUUCUUGAAACUUAAAGAAUUUGGCGGUAUCCUACUCCGUUCAGAGGAAUCUGUCUCGUUAUCGAUAGUCCGCGUUGGACCUUGCUUAGGGUUAAUUUUGGUUUGUAUACCGCCGUUUAUUGAUUAUCUUUUUAGAGUAUCUUGAAUUUUCUGGUUUCUUUAAUUUGAUUUAUUGCAGGUCAAGGUGCAGCUUUUUCUAAGUGUAAUGAUGGAUUACAGUGGUAUGUGUUGUUUGGAUUGUUUGUUUAAAUAUGGGCAUGAAAUUGGAUUUGGUUGUAAUGUUUUGUAGAUUGUUUUCAUGAUAGUUGGUUCUAGGAUAUGUACACAUCGCCCGUCGCUCUCAUUUAAGUUUUUGAUGAGAUAAGUCGUAACAUAGUAACGAGGUUCCUUUGAUCCUGUCCUUGAUGACUCUCUAUGUCCGGGACCGUCGAUAUGGUGACAUAGUAUUUUGAGGUUUCGAACUUCCUCAGAGCAAUAUCAAUCGUAAUACCUU
RNAcentral lists this ribosomal RNA (500 nucleotides) under Odontotermes gurdaspurensis. RNAcentral describes it as "partial 12S ribosomal RNA". Lineage: Eukaryota; Metazoa; Arthropoda; Insecta; Blattodea; Termitidae. The record is from RNAcentral.